This 65-nucleotide transfer RNA is filed under the name Gandalfus yunohana. RNAcentral's name for it is "tRNA-Gly". The record is from RNAcentral. Lineage: Eukaryota; Metazoa; Arthropoda; Malacostraca; Decapoda; Bythograeidae.
AUUUUCUUAAUAUAUAAAGUAUAUUUGACUUCCAAUCAAAAAGUCUAGAUUAUCUAGAGAAAAUA